AGCGAACGCUGGCGGCAGGCCUAACACAUGCAAGUCGAACGAACUCUUCGGAGUUAGUGGCGGACGGGUGAGUAACACGUGGGGACGUGCCUUUAGGUUCGGAAUAACUCAGGGAAACUUGUGCUAAUACCGAAUGUGCCCUUCGGGGGAAAGAUUUAUCGCCUUUAGAGCGGCCCGCGUCUGAUUAGCUUGUUGGUGAG
RNAcentral lists this ribosomal RNA (200 nucleotides) under uncultured bacterium. RNAcentral's name for it is "partial 16S ribosomal RNA". It matches the Rfam family "Bacterial small subunit ribosomal RNA", at positions 29 to 256 of the family's 1533-position model. The record is from RNAcentral.